RNAcentral lists this ribosomal RNA (253 nucleotides) under uncultured bacterium. RNAcentral describes it as "partial 16S ribosomal RNA". It matches the Rfam family "Bacterial small subunit ribosomal RNA", at positions 524 to 776 of the family's 1533-position model. The record is from RNAcentral.
UACGUAGGGUGCGAGCGUUGUCCGGAAUUAUUGGGCGUAAAGAGCUCGUAGGCGGCCUGUUGCGUCGGUUGUGAAAGCCCGGGGCUUAACCCCGGGUCUGCAGUCGAUACGGGCAGGCUAGAGUUCGGUAGGGGAGAUCGGAAUUCCUGGUGUAGCGGUGAAAUGCGCAGAUAUCAGGAGGAACACCGGUGGCGAAGGCGGUUCUCUGGGAAUGUCCUGACGCUGAGGAGCGAAAGUGUGGGGAGCGAACAGG